This 819-nucleotide ribosomal RNA is filed under the name uncultured fungus. RNAcentral's name for it is "eukaryotic LSU rRNA". It matches the Rfam family "Eukaryotic large subunit ribosomal RNA", at positions 141 to 821 of the family's 3401-position model. The record is from RNAcentral. Lineage: Eukaryota; Fungi.
AGUUGUAGUUUAAAGAAGCGUUUUCGGUGGCAGCCUGGGUAUAAAUCCUUUGGAACAGGGUAUCGUAGAGGGUGAGAAUCCCGUCUUUGACUCAGUGCUAUGCUACUCUGUGAUACGUUUUCAAAGAGUCGAGUUGUUUGGGAAUGCAGCUCAAAAUGGGUGGUAAAUUUCAUCUAAGGCUAAAUAUUGGCGAGAGACCGAUAGCGAACAAGUACCGUGAGGGAAAGAUGAAAAGAACUUUGAAAAGAGAGUUAAACAGUGCGUGAAAUUGUUGAAAGGGAAACGUUUGACACCAGCUAUGCAGGCGGAAAAUCAGUCAAGUGCAGUGAGGGGUUGUGUGGGUCUGGACCGCAAGGCCGGCCUUUACCUCAUCUUUGCUGUAGGUGAUGCACUUUUUCGUCCGCAGGUCAACAUCAGUUUCGCCCGCUGGACAAAACUCCGAGAGAAGGUAGCAGCUUAGGCUGUGUUAUAGCUCUGGAGCGAUACAGUGGGUGGGACUGAGGAUUCGCAGUGUGCGCUCUCGGGCAAGGCUGACUGGGUGCUCUGGGGUUGUUUGGCGUACAAUGCAUGCAUUUUGCGCCUUGUCUUCCUCAUACUCGCUCAAUUCGGCUCUUCCACGCUUAGGAUGUUGACUUAAUGGUUUUAAACGACCCGUCUUGAAACACGGACCAAGGAGUCUAACAUGCAUGCAAGUGUUUGGGUGGCAAACCCAUGCGCGUAAUGAAAGUGAACGUAGGUGCGAUCCGCAAGGUGCAGCAUCGACCGAUCUUGAUAUUUUUGGAUAGAUUUGAGUAAGAGCAUGUAUGCUGGGACCCGAAA